AGUUGUUUGAAUUGGGUCCAGAUGGAGGAGACCAUGAGACUGAUGGAGACCUUCUUGCUGAAACAGAUGUCUUAGCGUAUGAUUGUGCUGCUAGAGAAAAGUACGCAAUGAUGUUUGAUGAACCAGUACUUCUACAAGCUGGCUGGUGGUAUGUUGCCUGGGCAAGAGUGUCAGGACCUAGCAGUGAUUGUGGAUCUCAUGGACAGGCCUCCAUUACUACAGAUGAUGGGGUUGUAUUUCAGUUUAAAAGCUCCAAGAAAUCAAAUAAUGGUACAGAUGUUAAUGCAGGUCAGAUCCCACAGUUACUAUACAGGU
Long non-coding RNA from Calidris pugnax (ruff), 315 nucleotides. RefSeq lists it as uncharacterized. The transcript is spliced from 3 exons. NCBI's taxonomy places the organism in Eukaryota, Metazoa, Chordata, Aves, Charadriiformes, Scolopacidae. The record is from RefSeq and is a predicted model, not a curated record.